ACUUGCAGACAUGUUCUCUUCAGUUACCAGACUCGCUAUCCACCUGCACGUGCUCCUGGCUCACCAUUUAUUCGUCUUAACUGCGUACUGUAGUUGCUGGAGGUGGCGGCUGAGGUGGCGGCAGAGUCAAAUAAGCAUCAGCCCUUCACCCAGGAGACUCGGGUUCACAUCCAGCAUGCCCCGGCAGGAUGUGCACAAGGUAAGGUAGGCACCACCCCGAAGGGGUGGUGCCUACCAUAGGGGUGGCGCUCACCAGCAACCCCAAUGCCACCCCGCUGGAGAAAUCCUGGUAGCAGUCAGGAAGUAGUAAAGUACUCCGACUGCCACCAGGGUUUCCCCAACUGUCUUAAAAGGUGUGCACAACCCCGAAGGGGUUGUGCACACCUUACCUUUUGCCGACUGCAACCAUGAUUUUUUUUCUCUAAGUAUCAUAAAGACAACACGGGGCUUUCACCCAGGAGACCGGGGGGUUCAUGUCCCACCUGUCAUGGUUAAGUACUUUCCUAAUCCCAACUGUCCUCGUCAUCUUCAUGGAGACUCAGACAGUUGGGUUUUGGAAAGUACUUUUCCAUGACACAUGGGACACGAACCCCAGUCUCCUGGGUGAAGGACCUUGUAUUCCUCAGUGUUGGACCUCAUCAUAAGGUGUGCUCCUUGCAAGUAUUGAACUCACAGCCUUGUGUUCUUCUAACCAGUGUUCCAUCACACUGAGCUAUCUGAUCUGAUACUCUCUACUGGUCGGAAGUUGUAUUUAUUGUUCACAUUUCAGAGUUGAAAAACUGUUAAAGCUGUUUGUACUAUUAUUUGUUGUUCACACUUUUUAUUUGUCUAUUCCUAUGUGUGUCCUAUCUAAGUGUUUGCAUAUACACUGGCAGCGAGCAGGUCUUGAACAUGACAACGUGCUUGGAAGGCUACUUCC
Molecule: long non-coding RNA, 919 nt
Organism: Sander lucioperca (pikeperch)
Lineage: Eukaryota; Metazoa; Chordata; Actinopteri; Perciformes; Percidae
Exons: 4
Source: RefSeq, a predicted model, not a curated record